Non-coding RNA from Peromyscus maniculatus bairdii (prairie deer mouse), 632 nucleotides. The record is from RefSeq and is a predicted model, not a curated record. Lineage: Eukaryota; Metazoa; Chordata; Mammalia; Rodentia; Cricetidae.
UUUAUGUUAUUUUGGUUCAUAUCAGUAGUUUUUUAUGUUAUGUUGGUUCAUAUCAGUAAUUUUUUAUGUUAUCUUUAUUUCUCAUUAGUUUAGCAACCGUGUUUAGGAGUUUUAUGAGCUGUCUCCCGGGUUUGGGGAGUUUGGGGAGUUUGGGGAGUUUGGGAUGUUUUAUGACCACUUAGUCUCUGUCAGAUGGUCAUAUAUCCUAACUCUAUGUUUUCUUAAGUUUCUGUAGUUGAUAAAGCCACCUGGAAAAAGGCGUCUAAGUUCUUAUCUACAUUUAAGAAUCCUGGUUUUAGCUUCUCUUUGUCUGUUGGGGAUGAAGUUGGGGGGGUGGUUACCGAGGUUUCGCAAUCAGGACAGAGAAGGGUUAACAAGAGAAAUUCCUGGCUGGCAGAAGAGACUUUGAAGUUAUCACAGUAAAGGAAGGGAGGGGGAGCAGUGGUCAUAAAGUAUGUCCUUGGCUGCCAGUGUUCCUGAAAAAAAAGUUUUUGUUAACUCCUCUGACUAAAGUCAGAUUCUCUGUUCAGUGUUCACACAGUUUUGUCAGUUGCAGGCAGCCAUUGUCCUGUACAGAGCAGGACAUGAGAAUCUUAGCCCGCCUGUGCCGAGAGCAUGCACCCCCACCCUUG